This 416-nucleotide ribosomal RNA is filed under the name uncultured Synechococcus sp. RNAcentral describes it as "bacterial SSU rRNA". It matches the Rfam family "Bacterial small subunit ribosomal RNA", at positions 29 to 492 of the family's 1533-position model. Lineage: Bacteria; Bacillati; Cyanobacteriota; Cyanophyceae; Synechococcales; Synechococcaceae. The record is from RNAcentral.
AUGAACGCUGGCGGCGUGCUUAACACAUGCAAGUCGAACGAACCUUCGGGUUAGUGGCGGACGGGUGAGUAACGCGUGAGAAUCUGCCCUCAGGAGGGGGAUAACGGCUGGAAACGGCCGCUAAUACCCCAUAUGCCGAGAGGUGAAAUGAAUUUCGCCUGAGGAUGAGCUCGCGUCUGAUUAGCUAGUUGGUGGGGUAAGAGCCUACCAAGGCUUCGAUCAGUAGCUGGUCUGAGAGGAUGAUCAGCCACACUGGGACUGAGACACGGCCCAGACUCCUACGGGAGGCAGCAGUGGGGAAUUUUCCGCAACGGGCGAAAGCCUGACGGAGCAACGCCGCGUGAGGGAUGAAGGCCUCUGGGCUGUAAACCUCUUUUCUCAAGGAAGAAGACCUGACGGUACUUGAGGAAUAAGCC